GCCUGCUUGGUGGAAUGGUUAGACACAACGGACUUAAAAUUCGUAAAUUACCGGUUCAAUUCCGGUAGCAGGUA
This 74-nucleotide transfer RNA is filed under the name Goniomonas avonlea. Its description in RNAcentral is "tRNA-Leu". It matches the Rfam family "tRNA". From Rfam's summary of the family: Transfer RNA (tRNA) molecules are approximately 80 nucleotides in length. Their secondary structure includes four short double-helical elements and three loops (D, anti-codon, and T loops). The record is from RNAcentral. Lineage: Eukaryota; Cryptophyceae; Goniomonadida; Goniomonadaceae.